RNAcentral lists this long non-coding RNA (1116 nucleotides) under Microcebus murinus (gray mouse lemur). RNAcentral describes it as "lncRNA (ENSMICG00000048171.1)". The record is from RNAcentral. Lineage: Eukaryota; Metazoa; Chordata; Mammalia; Primates; Cheirogaleidae.
CCUGUCCCUGGGCGUGCGAGGAGGUGGGGCCCUGGGAGGUAAUUAGGUCCCCAGGGCGGAGCCUUCCGGAAGGGAAAGCAGUCAGUGUCCCCAGCGAGGACUCGGCGAGAAGAGGGUCACCUGUGGGUGCCUCGGUCGUGGACUUCUCAGCCUGCGGCAAACGGCGAGGAAACAUUUCCGUGCCCGCAGUUCCUCUUCCCGGGCCCGAGCGAGCGAGCGGGGUGCGCCCGAGGCCACGCAGGUCCGCAGGGUCGCCCGCGUCCAGGUGAGCCGCGCGCGCAGCCCCGGCCCAGGUGUGGCGGCGGGACCCGCCAGGUAAGACCGAGGCCCCGGACUUGGGGGGCCGCAGACCGGAGCUGGGGGACCCCGUCGGCGGCCCCCACCCCACCCCACCCCACCCCACCCCAGGACUGCCCGGGGACCCCGAAGUUCCCAGAGGAACGAUUAAGGUGGCGCCCCCUCCACACCCCCCGCCGCUUCCAAGGCAACCGCUCAUUUGCAUACGGCCCCGUCCUGGCCAAUGGGGGCGCCCCAAAUGUGGGGGACCUGAGUGAGUCCCCAAAGGGGCUCGUCUGGGAACCGGGAAAGGCUGGGCUCGGCUGCCCCCCUGCCCGCCUUCCCCUAGGCAGGCGCCGGGGAGGGACGUACCCAUUCCCCGGAGGCGGCCACUGAGGCCGCGGGCGCCCAGCCAGGGCCCGCCAGGCGCGGCCUCCGCGUCGCCGUCCCGGGGCGGCCGCGGGGCUAUAAAUAACGACAAUAAUAAUAACCAGCCCGGGCCGCGAGGGCGAGCGCGACCGCAGGGCUGAGGCCAGGGCCCGGGUUGGGGUGUCUCCGCGCAGGCUCCCCGGAUGGAGGGCGCCGUGCUGUGGGCGUCGUCGCUGUGGCUGUGGCUGUCGCUGUCGCUGCUGCGGGGCCCGGGCGGCCAGGGCCUGUCCUGCAACGUGACCGCGGUGGACUGGGCGGCGGAGUUCGAGGCCGAGUGCCUGAACCUGAGCGGCCUGGGCGUGCGCCCCCCGCGCAACGGCUCCCUGCGCGCGCGCCGCCUGGCGCUGCUCGACCUGUCGCGCAACGGGCUGCGGGAGCUGCCGCCGCCCGGCUUCUUCGCGCAGCUGCCGG